UACGUAGGCAGCGAGCGUUGUUCGGAGUUACUGGGCGUAAAGGGUGUGUAGGCGGUUGCUUAAGUUUGGUGUGAAAUCUCCCCGGCUCAACCGGGAGGGUGCGCCGAAUACUGAGUGACUAGAGUGCGGGAGAGGAAAGUGGAAUUCCUGGUGUAGCGGUGAAAUGCGUAGAUAUCAGGAGGAACACCGGUGGUGUAGACGGCUUUCUGGACCGUAACUGACGCUGAGACACGAAAGCGUGGGUAGCAAACAGG
Molecule: ribosomal RNA, 254 nt
Filed under: uncultured bacterium
Lineage: Bacteria
Description: partial 16S ribosomal RNA
Rfam family: Bacterial small subunit ribosomal RNA
Source: RNAcentral